This 437-nucleotide ribosomal RNA is filed under the name uncultured Oscillospiraceae bacterium. RNAcentral's name for it is "bacterial SSU rRNA". It matches the Rfam family "Bacterial small subunit ribosomal RNA", at positions 341 to 792 of the family's 1533-position model. Lineage: Bacteria; Bacillati; Bacillota; Clostridia; Eubacteriales; Oscillospiraceae. The record is from RNAcentral.
ACGGGAGGCAGCAGUGGGGAAUAUUGGGCAAUGGGCGAAAGCCUGACCCAGCAACGCCGCGUGAAGGAAGAAGGCCUUCGGGUUGUAAACUUCUUUUACCAGGGACGAAGGACGUGACGGUACCUGGAGAAAAAGCCACGGCUAACUACGUGCCAGCAGCCGCGGUAAUACGUAGGUGGCAAGCGUUGUCCGGACUUACUGGGUGUAAAGGGCGUGUAGGCGGAACUGUAAGUCAGAUGUGAAAUCCCGGGGCUCAACCCCGGAACUGCAUUUGAAACUGCAGUCCUUGAGUAUCGGAGAGGCAAGCGGAAUUCCUAGUGUAGCGGUGAAAUGCGUAGAUAUCAGGAGGAACACCGGUGGCGAAGGCGGCUUGCUGGGCUUUUACUGACGCUGAGGCUCGAAAGCGUGGGUAGCAAACAGGAUUAGAUACCCUGGUA